UGCAGUCGAACGAGAAAGUCCUUCGGGAUGAGUAUAGUGGCGCACGGGUGAGUAAUGAAUAGGAACAUGCCUAUAGGUGGGGGAUAACCACGGGAAACUGUGGCUAAUACCGCGUAUAAUCUACGGAUGAAAGAGGGCCUCUGCUUGCAAGCUCUUGCCAAUAGAGUGGCCUAUUUCCCAUUAGCUAGUUGGUAGGGUAAAAGCCUACCAAGGCGACGAUGGGUAGCUGGUCUGAGAGGAUGAUCAGCCACACUGGAACUGAGACACGGUCCAGACUCCUACGGGAGGCAGCAGUGGGGAAUCUUGCACAAUGGGCGAAAGCCUGAUGCAGCAACGCCGCGUGAGUGAAGAAGGUCUUUGGAUUGUAAAGCUCUUUCGGCUAGGAAGAAGGGUGUGAGGGCUAAUACCCCUGAGAUCUGACGGUACUAGAAGAAGAAGCACUGGCUAAUUCCGUGCCAGCAGCCGCGGUAAUACGGAAGGUGCAAGCGUUGUUCGGAGUGAUUGGGCGUAAAGGGCGCGUAGGCGGGAAGAUAAGUUGAUUGUGAAAACCCCGGGCUCAACCUGGGACGUGCAGUCAAAACUGUUUUUCUUGAAUGCUUAAGAGGUUAGUGGAAUUCCAGGUGUAGGAGUGAAAUCCGUAGAUAUCUGGAGGAACACCAGCGGCGAAGGCGGCUAACUGGUGAUGCAUUGACGCUGAGGCGCGAAAGCACG
This 711-nucleotide ribosomal RNA is filed under the name uncultured Pseudomonadota bacterium. RNAcentral's name for it is "bacterial SSU rRNA". It matches the Rfam family "Bacterial small subunit ribosomal RNA", at positions 56 to 763 of the family's 1533-position model. Lineage: Bacteria; Pseudomonadati; Pseudomonadota. The record is from RNAcentral.